CACUGCAGGACUCACAUCUGUCAGUCAACACAGCAGAAAGCACAACCACCAUGACUCUCAUCUCCAUCCUCAUCUGGAUGCUGCUCUGCUGCUGUUUUACAGGAUGCAGCAGUCAGGUGACUGUGACUCAACCUCCAGUAGAGAGAAUUACUCCAGGAUCCACUGUCACUCUGACCUGUAAGACUAGCCAGGCUGUUUAUAGAUGGUCUGAUGGUGAUGAGGGUAUAGCCUGGUAUCAACACAAAUCUGGACAGACUCCGAAGCUCCUUGUAAAAUAUGCGGAAAAGCUUGUGUCAGGAACUCCAUCUCGGUUUAGUGGCAGUGGAAGCAGCUCUGACUUCACGUUGACCAUCAGUGGAGUUCAGACUGAAGAUGCAGCAGUUUACUACUGUCAGAGUUACCACAGCCGUGGAGUGUUGACACAGUGAUUUAUGGUCGUACAAAAACCUCCUCAGUCAGACUGCAGAGACUCUGAACUGUUACAGCAGGAACCAAGUGCAGCUGCUGAAGAGGAAGAAACUCUGACACAGACCACUGAACACAGAGCUGACA
Molecule: non-coding RNA, 552 nt
Organism: Amphiprion ocellaris (clown anemonefish)
Lineage: Eukaryota; Metazoa; Chordata; Actinopteri; Pomacentridae
Source: the annotation of a RefSeq genome assembly